GCCCGCCGCGCGCGCGGGCGGGGCGGGGGCACGGGGGGCCUACGGGAGGCAGCAGUGAGGAAUAUUGGUCAAUGGGCGAGAGCCUGAACCAGCCAAGUAGCGUGCAGGACGACUGCCCUAUGGGUUGUAAACUGCUUUUAUGCGGGGAUAAACUUCAGCACGUGUGCUGUUUUGCAGGUACCGCAUGAAUAAGGACCGGCUAAUUCCGUGCCAGCAGCCGCGGUAAUAAU
Molecule: ribosomal RNA, 230 nt
Filed under: uncultured soil bacterium
Lineage: Bacteria
Description: partial 16S ribosomal RNA
Rfam family: Bacterial small subunit ribosomal RNA
Source: RNAcentral